Molecule: ribosomal RNA, 549 nt
Filed under: uncultured bacterium
Lineage: Bacteria
Description: bacterial SSU rRNA
Rfam family: Bacterial small subunit ribosomal RNA
Source: RNAcentral
UGGGGAAUAUUGCACAAUGGGCGCAAGCCUGAUGCAGCCAUGCCGCGUGUGUGAAGAAGGCCUUCGGGUUGUAAAGCACUUUCAGCGGGGAGGAAGGCGGUGAGGUUAAUAACCUCAUCGAUUGACGUUACCCGCAGAAGAAGCACCGGCUAACUCCGUGCCAGCAGCCGCGGUAAUACGGAGGGUGCAAGCGUUAAUCGGAAUUACUGGGCGUAAAGUGCACGCAGGCGGUCUGUCAAGUCGGAUGUGAAAUCCCCGGGCUCAACCUGGGAACUGCAUUCGAAACUGGCAGGCUAGAGUCUUGUAGAGGGGGGUAGAAUUCCAGGUGUAGCGGUGAAAUGCGUAGAGAUCUGGAGGAAUACCGGUGGCGAAGGCGGCCCCCUGGACAAAGACUGACGCUCAGGUGCGAAAGCGUGGGGAGCAAACAGGAUUAGAUACUCUGGUAGUCCACGCUGUAAACGAUGUCGAUUUGGAGGUUGUGCCCUUGAGGCGUGGCUUCCGGAGCUAACGCGUUAAAUCGACCGCCUGGGGAGUACGGCCGCAAGGUUA